AAUUCCAGCUCCAAUAGUGUAUAUUAGAGUUGUUGCAGUUAAAAAGCUCGUAGUUGGAUUUCUGCUGUGGUCAUCCGGUACCGCCCGUACGGGUGCGCACCUGGUUUGGCUGCGGCUUUCUUCCUGUAGCCGUCCGCGCUUAAUUGCGUGUGUUGUGUUGCGGAACUUUUACUUUGAGAAAAAUAGAGUGUUUCAAGCAGGCUUGUCGCCCUGAAUACUUCAGCAUGGAAUAAUAGGAUAGGACCUUGGUUCUAUUUUGUUGGUUUCUAGGACCAAGGUAAUGAUUAAUAGGGACAGUUGGGGGCAUUCGUAUUUAACUGUCAGAGGUGAAAUUCUUAGAUUUGUUAAAGACGAACUACUGCGAAAGCAUUUGCCAAGGAUGUUUUCAUUAAUCAAGAACGACAGUAGGGGGUUUGAAGACGAUUAGAUACCGUCGUAAUCUCUACCAUAAACUAUGCCGACUAGAGAUAGGGAAACGCCUACCUUGGCUUCUCCUG
RNAcentral lists this ribosomal RNA (497 nucleotides) under Eimeria subspherica. RNAcentral's name for it is "SSU rRNA". It matches the Rfam family "Eukaryotic small subunit ribosomal RNA", at positions 581 to 1083 of the family's 1831-position model. The record is from RNAcentral. Lineage: Eukaryota; Apicomplexa; Conoidasida; Eucoccidiorida; Eimeriidae.